This 253-nucleotide ribosomal RNA is filed under the name uncultured bacterium. Its description in RNAcentral is "partial 16S ribosomal RNA". It matches the Rfam family "Bacterial small subunit ribosomal RNA", at positions 524 to 776 of the family's 1533-position model. The record is from RNAcentral.
UACGUAGGAGACGAGCGUUGUCCGGAGUUACUGGGCGUAAAGGGUGCGCAGGUGGUUGUGCGCGUGGGGGGUGGAAUCGCCCGGCUCAACUGGGCGCGGUCGGUGGAAACUGGUCACCUGGAGGACGGUAGAGGCGAGUGGAAUUCCCGGUGUAGUGGUGAAAUGCGUAGAGAUCGGGAGGAACACCAGUGGCGAAGGCGGCUCGCUGGGCCGGCCCUGACGCUGAGGCGCGAAGGCGUGGGGAGCGAACGGG